This 254-nucleotide ribosomal RNA is filed under the name uncultured bacterium. RNAcentral describes it as "partial 16S ribosomal RNA". It matches the Rfam family "Bacterial small subunit ribosomal RNA", at positions 524 to 776 of the family's 1533-position model. The record is from RNAcentral.
CACGUAGGGGGCGAGCGUUGUCCGGAUUUAUUGGGCGUAAAGAGCUCGUAGGCGGUUUCGUAAGUCGGAUGUGAAAACUCCAGGCUCAACUUGGAGACGCCAUUCGAUACUGCGAUGACUUGAGUCCGGUAGGGGAGUGUGGAAUUCCUGGUGUAGCGGUGAAAUGCGCAGAUAUCAGGAGGAACACCGGCGGCGAAGGCGGCACUCUGGGCCGGUACUGACGCUGAGGCACGAAGGCCAGGGGAGCAAACGGG